GAUGAACGCUGGCGGCGUGCUUAACACAUGCAAGUCGAACGAAGCAUUUAAGACAGAUUACUUCGGUUUGAGGUCUUUUAUGACUGAGUGGCGGACGGGUGAGUAACGCGUGGGUAACCUGCCUCAUACAGGGGGAUAGCAGCUGGAAACGGCUGGUAAUACCGCAUAAGCGCACAGUACCACAUGGUACAGUGUGAAAAACUCCGGUGGUAUGAGAUGGACCCGCGUCUGAUUAGCUUGUUGGCGGGGUAACGGCCCACCAAGGCGACGAUCAGUAGCCGACCUGAGAGGGUGACCGGCCACAUUGGGACUGAGACACGGCCCAGACUCCUACGGGAGACAGCAGUGGGGAAUAUUGCACAAUGGAGGAAACUCUGAUGCAGCGACGCCGCGUGAGUGAAGAAGUAGUUCGCUAUGUAAAGCUCUAUCAGCAGGGAAGAUAGUGACGGUACCUGACGAAGAAGCUCCGGCUAAAUACGUG
This 481-nucleotide ribosomal RNA is filed under the name uncultured bacterium. RNAcentral's name for it is "partial 16S ribosomal RNA". It matches the Rfam family "Bacterial small subunit ribosomal RNA", at positions 28 to 507 of the family's 1533-position model. The record is from RNAcentral.